GAUGAACGCUGGCGGCGUGCUUAACACAUGCAAGUCGAACGGAAAGGCCCAAGCUUGCUUGGGUACUCGAGUGGCGAACGGGUGAGUAACACGUGGGUGAUCUGCCCUGCACUUCGGGAUAAGCCUGGGAAACUGGGUCUAAUACCGGAUAGGACCACUUCUUGGAUGUUGUGGUGGAAAGUUUUUUCGGUGUGGGAUGAGCUCGCGGCCUAUCAGCUUGUUGGUGGGGUAAUGGCCUACCAAGGCGUCGACGGGUAGCCGGCCUGAGAGGGUGUACGGCCACAUUGGGACUGAGAUACGGCCCAGACUCCUACGGGAGGCAGCAGUGGGGAAGAUUGCACAAUGGGCGCAAGCCUGAUGCAGCGACGCCGCGUGGGGGAUGACGGCCUUCGGGUUGUAAACGCCUUUCGCUAGGGACGAAGCGUUUUGUGACGGUACCUGGAGAAGAAGCACCGGCUAACUACGUG
Molecule: ribosomal RNA, 467 nt
Filed under: uncultured bacterium
Lineage: Bacteria
Description: partial 16S ribosomal RNA
Rfam family: Bacterial small subunit ribosomal RNA
Source: RNAcentral